This is a long non-coding RNA of Sphaeramia orbicularis (orbiculate cardinalfish), 94 nucleotides long. RefSeq lists it as uncharacterized. The record is from RefSeq and is a predicted model, not a curated record. Lineage: Eukaryota; Metazoa; Chordata; Actinopteri; Kurtiformes; Apogonidae. The transcript has 3 exons.
GCAUGUACAGUUAAAAGGUAAGGAAUUACUUUUAAAUUACAUGAACAUGUAAUCUGUAAUGCGUAACAGUUUGGAAGUAAGUUGCACAACACUA